GCUUGUUAGAAUAAGCCGAAGAGAAAACGGAUGGGUGGAAAAUGCAGGAGACAGUGAAUUGAUUGUGAAAUGGUCUCCGCGGGCAUCCAUCAGCUGUCUUUAUGCUUGAGGUUUGGCUGCUGGAGCCGCCGCUGGUGGCUGCUUGCCACCAAUGGACCUCAAUGGAGCACAAACAGGACAUCUGCAUGCCUACUUGUUUAUCACAGCUCGGAAAAAAAGCAACCUUUUUAACAACUGCAUCGGAAUUAUUUAAAAAAAAGUUUAAUAAAUGUAUUAGUUUAAUUAAACAAAAACUAGUGUUGGUUAUUUUUGUCUCUAUUAUGCGGAUAAAUAUGUUCAUGGAAUUCUUUUGCCAGUUAUUUCAUGUUAUGACGUAGUCAUGGUAUGUUUAAUUUUUCCUUUUGUAGGGAGUGAUUGUAUAUUGAAUCUUGCCGAUUGCAUCAGAAAUGUUGGAGAUGAUGUACACUUUUUUUUCCUCCCCAAUUGCAUAUCUAUCCAGACUUCAGGGACACCAUACAGACAAUAUGCAAUUUAUAUUGAAAAGCCAUUUUAAUCGUCCCUGACCUCUACUUUGCUGGCAGAUAAUAAAACUUGACACCGA
Molecule: long non-coding RNA, 601 nt
Organism: Hippocampus comes (tiger tail seahorse)
Lineage: Eukaryota; Metazoa; Chordata; Actinopteri; Syngnathiformes; Syngnathidae
Exons: 2
Source: RefSeq, a predicted model, not a curated record